RNAcentral lists this ribosomal RNA (360 nucleotides) under Gronaulax sp. Its description in RNAcentral is "partial 16S ribosomal RNA". The record is from RNAcentral. Lineage: Eukaryota; Metazoa; Arthropoda; Insecta; Hymenoptera; Braconidae.
AUGGCUGCAGUAUAUUAACUGUACAAAGGUAGCAUAAUAAUUUGUUUUUUAAUUAAAAACUAGAAUGAAAGAUUAAAUGAAGUAUAAACUUUUUUAAUUAAAUAAACAUUNAAUUUAUUAUUUAAGUAAAAAAACUUAAAUAAUUAUUAAAGACGAUAAGACCCUNUANAAUUUUAUUUAUUUAUUUUUUNNNNNAAAUUAAAUAAAUUUAAUUGGGGAAAUAAAAAAAUUUAAAUAACUUUUUUUAUACAUAAUAUUAUAAAUAAAUUUAUUAUCUUAAAAUUUAAAUUAAAAAAAUUAAUUACCUUAGGGAUAACAGCAUAAUUUUUUUUAAAAGANCUUAUUAAUAAAAAAGCUUAU